This 518-nucleotide ribosomal RNA is filed under the name uncultured bacterium. RNAcentral describes it as "bacterial SSU rRNA". It matches the Rfam family "Bacterial small subunit ribosomal RNA", at positions 355 to 872 of the family's 1533-position model. The record is from RNAcentral.
UGGGGAAUAUUGGACAAUGGGCGAAAGCCUGAUCCAGCGACGCCGCGUGAAGGAAGAAGUCCUUCGGGAUGUAAACUUCUGAACUAAUCGAAUAAAAGGGUAGUGGACACACUACAGAAGAAGGUAGAUUAGGAAAAGUCCCGGCUAACUACGUGCCAGCAGCCGCGGUAAGACGUAGGGGGCGAGCGUUGCCCGGAAUCACUGGGUGUAAAGGGGACGUAGGCGGAUGAUCAAGUCAUCUGUGAAAAGAUUGCUCAACGAUUGGCUUGCGGAUGAAACUGGUCAUCUUGGGCGUAGCAGAGGUAGACGGAAUUACCUGAGUAGGGGUGAAAUCCGCAGAUACAGGUAAGAACGCCGGUGAAGAAGUUGGUCUACUGGGCUACAGCUGACGCUGAGGUCCGAAAGCCAGGGGAGCGAACCGGAUUAGAUACCCGGGUAGUCCUGGCUGUAAACGAUGCUCACUAGGUGUAGGGAGCGAAAGACUCUCUGUGCKGAAGCGAACGCGCUAAGKGAGCCMC